ACCUGGUUGGCUCAGUCGGUAGAGUGUGUGACUCUUGAUCUUGGGGCUGUGGGUUCAAGCCCCAUGUUGGGUG
Molecule: transfer RNA, 73 nt
Filed under: Ailuropoda melanoleuca (giant panda)
Lineage: Eukaryota; Metazoa; Chordata; Mammalia; Carnivora; Ursidae
Rfam family: tRNA
About the family: Transfer RNA (tRNA) molecules are approximately 80 nucleotides in length. Their secondary structure includes four short double-helical elements and three loops (D, anti-codon, and T loops).
Source: Rfam by way of RNAcentral